This 253-nucleotide ribosomal RNA is filed under the name uncultured bacterium. RNAcentral describes it as "partial 16S ribosomal RNA". It matches the Rfam family "Bacterial small subunit ribosomal RNA", at positions 524 to 776 of the family's 1533-position model. The record is from RNAcentral.
UACGGAGGGGGCUAGCGUUGUUCGGAAUUACUGGGCGUAAAGCGCGCGUAGGCGGACCUGCAAGUCGGGGGUGAAAGCCCGGAGCUCAACUCCGGAACUGCCUUUAAGACUGCAUCGCUUGAACGUCGGAGAGGUAAGUGGAAUUCCGAGUGUAGAGGUGAAAUUCGUAGAUAUUCGGAAGAACACCAGUGGCGAAGGCGACUUACUGGACGACUGUUGACGCUGAGGUGCGAAAGCGUGGGGAGCAAACAGG